UAUCAGAUUUUGUAAGAGAGUUUUUUCUUUUUGUGAAAAAAAUAUGAGAUAUAAAUUAUAAAAGUCACGUGUGAGUGGAGAGAUGGAACAUUGAAUGCUCUUCUUUUUUAAGGCCUUGUUUGGAUCUCAUCCUGGAGCCAAAAAUGUUUUAUUUUUCAAUUCCCUCUCCAACAAAUGAGUGCGUGGCAGUGUCAAAGUGGAUGGAGAUAUCUUUUUUUUUCAUGCUGAUAGAGAGAGUAAGACAUUUUCUUCUCUUUUUUCUUAACUUAAAAUUUAAAAGGAAACUUAAAUUUUUUAAAUUCA
This 303-nucleotide long non-coding RNA is filed under the name Lathyrus oleraceus (garden pea). Its description in RNAcentral is "Pisum sativum (pea) long non-coding RNA (PSAT_LNC023918)". Lineage: Eukaryota; Viridiplantae; Streptophyta; Magnoliopsida; Fabales; Fabaceae. The record is from RNAcentral.